This 254-nucleotide ribosomal RNA is filed under the name uncultured bacterium. RNAcentral's name for it is "partial 16S ribosomal RNA". It matches the Rfam family "Bacterial small subunit ribosomal RNA", at positions 524 to 776 of the family's 1533-position model. The record is from RNAcentral.
UACGUAGGUGGCAAGCGUUGUCCGGAUUUACUGGGCGUAGAGAGCGCGCAGGCGGUCGUUCAAGUCGCGUGUGAAAGCCCCCGGCUCAACUGGGGAGGGUCACGCGAUACUGGUCGACUCGAAGGCAGGAGAGGGUAGUGGAAUUCCCGGUGUAGUGGUGAAAUGCGUAGAUAUCGGGAGGAACACCAGUGGCGAAGGCGACUACCUGGCCUGUUUCUUGACGCUGAGGCGCGAAAGCUAGGGGAGCAAACGGG